This is a non-coding RNA of Triticum urartu, 135 nucleotides long. NCBI's taxonomy places the organism in Eukaryota, Viridiplantae, Streptophyta, Magnoliopsida, Poales, Poaceae. The record is from Rfam.
AAUCUACUCCCUCCGUUCCGAAUUACUUGUCUUGAAUUUGUCUAGAUACGGAUGUAUCUAGACUCAUUUUAGUGGUAGAUACCUCCGUAUCUAGACAAAUCUAAAACAAGUAAUUUGGAAUGGAGGGAGUAGAAG